RNAcentral lists this long non-coding RNA (7440 nucleotides) under Arabidopsis lyrata. RNAcentral's name for it is "long non-coding RNA (ALYR_LNC003166)". The record is from RNAcentral. Lineage: Eukaryota; Viridiplantae; Streptophyta; Magnoliopsida; Brassicales; Brassicaceae.
CUAAAAUAAUAAAAAUAAAAGAAUUUAAAUCAAAUAAAUAGAAAAAGACCAAAAACCCUUACUCUAAUCUAAUAAUUACGUAUCCCUGCCAACCCAACUUAUUCUCUUCUUCUGCUUUCACGCCUCUUCUUUCACGCUUCUUCUUCUUCUUCUUCUUCUUCUUCUUCUUUCAUUUUUUUCUGGAUUUUUUUGGAUCUUUCACUUUAGAUCUCCUCUCCUCCAUCAUCAUCAUCAUCAUCAUCAUUAAUGAAACUUUAGAUCUAUCUUCUCCAUAGAUCUCUCUUUGCGUUUCUUCAUGGAUUGAAUAAUUCUUUAUGUUUCUUCUCCAUGGAUUUCUUAGAUUCACUAAUCACGGAUCUCUCUUCAUGUUUCUUCUCCAUGGAUAUCUCCUCGUGCUUUCGUCCUUUGAAGUGCGCAAUCGUUUGGUGAGAAAAAACGGUUCACAAACUUCGACGAGGAAGGUUGAGGGCAGAUAAUCGGCGACGACGACGAAGAAGAAAGCAAGAAGAGACGAAUUAGUAAGUGUGAUGGCGCUAGGGUUUAGAAUUACAAUUGCUUCGCUUCAGUUGUACCUACUUAUUUGUACCAGUUGUACCUAACUAUUUGUACCAUUGUACCUAAUUAUUUGUACCAGUUGUACUUAUUUAUAUGUUAGUUAUACCAAUUGUAUCAAUUGUACUAUUAUCUUUUAGUAAUACCUUUUGUACCAGUUGUUCAAUUAUCUCUCAGUUAUACUAUUUGUAUCAGUUGUCAUAUUAUCCCUUAAUUGUACCAGUUGUACUAUUAUCUCUUAGUUGUACCAAUCGUCUCUUCUUUCAUUAAGGGUGAUUUCGGAAUAUCACAUUUACAGUGGCACUCAGAUCACAAAAUGGCAUGCCGGAUUCAUUUUCUCCAAUUAGUGACAAACUAGCCUCGGACUCCAAAUCAACGUGGACCAUCUUGUAAUCUUACCAUAUGGUUUUUAACCGGUUUGUUUAAUUAUAUUGUUUUUGAUUUUUGUAAAACAUUUGAGAUAUCCCAAUAACGUUGGCAAUCAUAAUCGCCUAAAACAUAUGGGUUCUAUACGUUUGAAUAAAGAUGGUGAAAGGCUUUUUAUCGGUUGAGAAGAAAAUGGUUAGAGAGAUGUCUUUAAUUCUGGUAUGCCAUUGGGAUGCACUUAUGGUUCAAACAAGCGUCUCCAACUCUACAUGAAAGGGUGAAAUUCUUUCGCGAUGAGUCUUUGGGUCUAUAAAAACAAAAAGUUAGCUAGAGAGACAUACCCAUUCAAGAGGUUUAAGAGUUUUCCUUCUAUUUAAGAUGUUUCACUUCAAACCACACCCUUCGAAAAUAUGCUCCAUAGUAUCUAGAGAGUAGAGGGUUUUGCAACAAAGCUCUAGACUCCAACAAAAUUGACUAAUUGAAUGACAACAAUUGUUGCCUUAGUUUUUGGUUUUAAAACUCAAAAGUGCAAUGUCUCAUCCCGCAAUAUUAAGAGUUUAUUAAAUUCUUGUUUUCUUAAAAUCUAGGAAAAGUGGAAAACUAGUCUUUCUCUUUAAUUUCUUUUUGUUUAGUACAAAAUCUCUUCAAAUCUUUUCAUUGAACAAAUUAAUUUAUGUUUUUUAAAAACUAAAAAUCCUAAAAUUGAAACCAAAAUCUCUACCUCAAAAAAAUCUGAAUAUAUUUAAAGCAAUAUUAAUAUAUUUGAUUUAAAACUCUCUAGAUCAUUAUACCUUUUAAAGACUUUUUCUAAAAAAUUGUUAAUAAAAAUUAUAUAACAAAUGAAGAAGAAGGAAUAGCGUAGCCCAAACGCUAUCUUUCAAAAAGGAUUUAUUCCAAAAUCCUUCAAACUAUAUCCCAAUUUUUAUUUUAUAUAUUUUCUUAUUCGUAAAUAUAUAUAUAUAUAUAUAUAUAUAUAUAUAUAUAUAUAUAUAUAUAUUCAUAAACGCUAAAUCAGAGACGAAAAAGAUCAGCGAAGAAAAAAAAAAAAAUGCAGAUCUUCGUCAAAACCCUCACCGGAAAAACCAUAACCCUAGAGGUCGAAAGCAGCGACACCAUCGACAAUGUCAAAGCCAAAAUUCAGGUUUCUCUUUCUCCUUCUCCGACUUCGAAUUCCACCUGCUCGUACUUUUUAGGGUUUUGGAAUGUGAAUUUUUCAAUUCCUUUUCUUAAUUGUUGGAGAAUAAUUCAUUGAUUGGAGUCACUGAUUGUUUGGUUUGAUGGUUUUAGGUUUUCUUUCUCUGAUUACGUAAAACGAUCUCAGAUUCUCGAGCGAUCGAUAGGUUUUUGUAUAAGUGACUAAAGAUGAUCGAUUUGAUCAGAUUCACGAAUCAUGUUGUUGAUGUUGCAAUCUCUAAGUAUUGUUUUGAUUUGGUCUUGUUCUAAUUGGUUGGGAUUUUGUUGAAAACAGGACAAAGAGGGAAUACCACCUGAUCAACAGAGGUUGAUAUUUGCUGGUAAGCAACUUGAAGAUGGUCGAACAUUAGCGGAUUACAACAUCCAGAAAGAGUCGACUCUUCACUUGGUCUUGAGGCUUAGGGGCGGGACUAUGAUUAAGGUCAAGACUCUCACAGGGAAGGAAAUUGAGAUUGAUAUUGAACCAACCGAUACUAUUGAUCGGAUCAAGGAACGUGUUGAGGAGAAAGAAGGUAUCCCUCCUGUUCAACAAAGGUACAUAACUUAUCUUUCCACUUACUUCAAAAGAAUUGAGUUUUAAUUUGGGUUUAGGGAAGCCUCUUGAACAGUAUUAACUCUUUUCUGAGACUUAUGCUCACCACUUAUUGUAGCUCCUAUAUUGUUCUGUCAUCUUUGUCGGCUCAUUUGGAGUUGUUCGCGGUUCAAUAUUGAUUCUAUAAGACUUUAUUUGCGGUUUAUUGCAAUAGGUGAUUUGAUUUUCAUGUUUUAGCGAGAUAAAGAAAACUAUCUAAUGCCCUUGUGAAAAUUGCAACUCCUCUAUGUGUUUCCUUAUGAUUUUUGGCAUCAGUCGAUUAUUCUCUGCGUGCAAGCUGAUAAUCUAGACUGUUACAUAUAACACACUGAUUUGCAUGAGUGUUUGUUGGAUGCUUAUAAUCUCAAGGAUGUUUGCAGGCUCAUCUACGCCGGAAAACAGCUAGCUGAUGACAAAACGGCAAAAGACUACGCCAUAGAGGGAGGCUCUGUUCUUCAUCUGGUUCUUGCUCUUAGGGGUGGUUUUGGUCUUCUCUGAGAAGUAACUCUUAAAUAUAUAUCUUUUCCUGUUUUCCUUUGUAUGGCUUGUUGGAGUUGGUGGGGAAAAAGUGAAUGCAAUUUGGAUAUGAUGCUUUGAAUAUUAUGCUGUUUCAGUGGGUUUGGAUUAACUUACCAAUAAUCUGUUAAAUAUCGAAUCAUACUUAUAUUUAUUUGGAUUUUAGUUAUUUAUAAUGAAUAUAUUUCAUUUGAAGAAAGGUGCUCGUAGCCGUAGAUAAACAACUAGACAUGUGAAACUAGGAAAAAAAAGCUAUGGGUUGAUCGGACCAGGCGGAUUGAGAUUGCUGGUUGCAUGAGUUAAAAGAACGGGUUCCUCAAGGACAGUGAAAUAUUGUUAGAAGAGUUAACCAUUUUGUAUGAGCAGAACUUUAUCAAAAUAUGUUUGAUUAAACAAGUCAGAUGAUUAGUUUAUGGUACCAUAAGUAACAUCAGUGACAAGUUAUUUUUACUUUAAUUUUCUAAGUAACAUUCCGUUUUUGUUAGUUGAUUUGUAUUUUCUCUUUUAUAAAUUGGGAUCAUUCCUUUUUACAUACAAGAUUCCCUUCUUCAUAUUUCAUCUUAUAUGUCAUGAGUUUGAGUCUCCAAUACUUCCAUAGCACGACAAGCACACCAGUGACCAUCCAUCCCCCAUACGUAGCAAUUGCUUUCUUUAUGAUUCAUUGCAUGUUUUCAUUAUUAUUUGCAUAACUUGCUCUAUUAUUUGCUAUAUUUUUUUUUUUUUGACAGCCUGCUAUAUAUUGUUAUUAUAAUUAUCAGGUUAACAAAUCUUCAUCUUCCAUGAGCACGCGUCCAUGACCGUGUUCACAAUUAUCUUAGAAAGAUAUGAUCACAUUCAUUUAAGAGAAUGGAAUCGGGCUUGUUGGACGUGAUUCAUGUUUUUUCAUUGAGAGAUUGUUAUUUUCUCCACAACAAAGAUACACAAGGUAGCUCUCAACUUUUCAAAAACCCUUGAUAAAUACAUGAUUGUUUAACUUGCUUACAAAAUUUUCAAAAUAUUAGAAGUUAAUUUUGUAUCUCUUUGUUGCGGAUGAAAAUUACAGUAUGUUAAAUGAAAAAUUGUGAAUCACUUCCAACAUUUACGACUCCAUCUGUUGAAGUGAAUGUGAUGUCUUCGGAAUUAGUUGUGGACAUGGACGCAUAACGCAUAUUCAUGGACGCAGUUGCAUAUGCCAAUAAAGACUAAAGUUGGUAACUCAAGAGGAUUUUUCAGGUAGAUACAUAUUUUUCUCUUAUCAUGGUUUUGUCUUACUGUAAUAUUUUGAAUAUCCUAAUUUCGUUCAUUUGUCGUAAUUGCCUAUGAGUCUUUUUUUUAAUAUAUUUCUCCUAUAAAUUCGAAUAAAUUUUUUCUUGUAAAGACACAUCAACAAAACAAUAUAAAAUAAAAUAUUAACUUUCUCACAUCUCAUUUUAUACAAAGGAUCCUAAAUUGAUUAUUAUCUAAUAAUUUCAUAACAUAAAACAUAUAUUUACUUGGGAAGUGUUUUUUUUUUUUUUGGGGAGUAUUUUUAAUAAAUUUCCAUCCAAUUCCAAGCUACUCAUGAGAAGAUUUUUUUUUUCUUUUUUAAACUAAAAAUUUAAUAGUAUUUUAAAAGAGAGAAAAAAAAACAAUAUGAAAGAGUAUGAAAGGGCCCACCCAAAAUAAAAAGGUGACCGUUGAGAUUUAAACGUUAAGCUUUAAAAGCUUUACAAGACAUAAACGUUGCGGACAGAAUCGGAUCCUUCCAGAGCCUCCCACAAACUCAUACAUAUAAAUAUAUACUCCCUCCGUAUUUUAAUAAGUGUCGUUUUAGAAUAUUUAUUUUUUUGAAUUGGAUGUCGUUUUCAAAUUUCUAUACAAAAUUUAUUACUUUUUAAUGUUUUAUGAUAUCAUAAAACAUUAAAAAGUAAAAAAUUUUGCAUAGAAAUUUGAAAACGACAUCUAAUUUUUAAAAAAAGAAAAUCCUAAAACGACACUUAUUAAAAUACGGAGGGGAGUACAUGUGAAGUAGAAUCAAAGCAAAACCAAGAGUCCAAGAAACAACAACAAAAAAAAAAAACAAUCAGAAAGAAGAUUGAAACAAGAUCUCAAGAUCGAUGGGUUUGGUUGUGGUCAUAUCUCUGCCUCUAAUUUUCUUUUGUCUACUUCUUGGAUUCGGUUGCUACUUCCUCGGCAAAUCUCGUGGCCGCCAUGAAAUCCGUACAAAUCCUCAGGUGUAUGGAGCUCCUGCUCCCCCUCCCGGCGCAAUCGCCGCCUCUUCUCCACCGUUGUCUCCUCAGACCAAGCCCGACAAUUCUCACAGCGUCUGAUUUUCCUUAUUUUUUCUCUUUGUCUAUCUUGUUUGUCUCUAUUGGAAGAUGCUUUUGUUUGACUUAUUGUGAAAUGUUGUACUUGUAACUUGUAAUCUUUUGAUUGUCUCUAGUUUUCUUGGGAUAAAUUCCCUUCUUCAUUUGUGUAUUUUCUUUUCUCUUUAAUGUAAAUAAGAAAGCUAGUAAUGGUUUACACAUGAUUCUAUAAGAAACCUCUAGAAAAUAUCAGAACGUCGUGUUGGUAAUUCAACGAGUUAAAAAUAUGAUGUGGCAACACAACCAAAUUCUCCUCUCGGAUGUGAUUGGACAAAAAAUGGAAUUUUUUUUGCUAUAAACAAUAUAUAAUGGGUAAAUGAGAAGAAAUUUGUUUCUUCUGCCUAGAAUUAGACAGUUAAUACAUUAAAAAAUACUAGUAAAACUUUAAAGAAAAGUAUGAUCUCAAAAGAUUAAAACCUAAUCAAGGUGUUCAUAGACAGCUGAAGAGAUCUUAUGAAAAGAAAUCGUUGAAACAUUUCAGACAAACAUUACAAAAGAUAUUAGCCUCCUUCCGGCGAAAUGGUGGAAGGAUUUGUAAUUCUGCUAAUGUUUACUUCGCUCAUAUAUAUAUAGAUUUAAUUGGAGAAUUUUUAUUUUGGUCAAAUUAUAGAUUUAAUUUUUUGAUUUUGGCAAUUACCUUUUCUAAUAUCGAAAUUGUGAAUGUAAAUUAUUACGAUUUUACAAAAAAAAAAAAUGAUUAACAAACUCAUGUCAGAAUCUCAAUUUUGCAGUGUAAUUACUAUUCAGAACUAUAAAACUACAUGUCUGUUUUUUUCUUGUCUACAUAUAUGUGAUUAUUUUGUGUAGAUAUAAUAUAUAGUUAUAUGUUGAUGUUUCAAUAAAAAAAACUAUAGUUAUAUAAACAAAAUACAGAUAAGUCGUGUGUAGUCCACAUAUCUCCAACAUCAAAUAAGAAAACUACAAAAAUCCGCGGGAAAAUCUCUUAUCCAGUGACAUGUUACUUACCAACCAAUCAAAACACGCCACCUCAUCACCACAAGACCUCUUCUCUUAUCUUCCUUUACCUCCACUAAUCUCCUCAAGAAUCUAAAGCUCCUCCCAUAAGUCCUCUCUCCACACUUCCUCCAAAGAUCCAGAACCCUAGAAUUCGAAACCUCCAAGAACCCGAAAAGCGCGAUGUCGCUCACGAUCCCGACGAAUCUCGUUCUCAACCCGAGAUCUAACAAAUCUCUCACUCAAUCCGUACCUAAAUCCUCCGCAAGAUUCGUCUGCUCCGAUGACAAAUCCUCCUCCACACCGCAAUCCAUGAAAGCUUUCUCCGCCGCCGUUGCCCUCUCUUCCAUCCUCCUCUCUGCUCCGAUGCCAGCUGUCGCUGAUAUCUCAGGUUUGACUCCUUGCAAGGACUCAAAACAGUUCGCUAAGAGAGAGAAGCAACAGAUCAAGAAGCUUGAAUCAUCUCUUAAGCUUUACGCUCCUGAAUCUGCUCCUGCUCUUGCUCUUAAUGCUCAGAUCGAGAAAACGAAACGCAGGUUCGUCUUCGAUUUCGAUUUCUUUCGUUAAAACAGAGCUUUUUUUUUUCUCUGUUCUUGAUUCUUGAAUCUUGAUUUUAAUGAAUUACUUGUUAGGUUCAUUGCUAUAGUAUGAUUUUUAUGAGUUAGUGAGUUUCGAAGUCGAUUGAUUUGGAAUUGUAUGUGCCUAUGAUUUGUGGAGAUUUUAUUGAUAUUGAAGAAAUGUUUGUUAGGUUCGACAACUACGGGAAGUACGGCUUGCUAUGCGGGUCAGAUGGUUUACCGCACUUGAUUGUGAAUGGAGACCAGCGGCAUUGGGGAGAGUUCAUUACUCCAGGGAUUCUUUUCCUCUACAUUGCUGGAUGGAUCGGGUGGGUUGGAAGAAGCUACUUAAUAGCUAUUAGUGGUGAGAAGAAACCCGCGAUGAAAGAGAUCAUCAUCGAUGUUC